AUUGAACGCUGGCGGCGUGCCUAACACAUGCAAGUCGAGCGGUAACAGGUGUAGCAAUACAUGCUGACGAGCGGCGGACGGGUGAGUAACGCUUGGGAAUCUGCCUGUUAGUGGGGGACAACCCGGGGAAACUCGGGCUAAUACCGCAUACGCACUACGGUGGAAAGCCGGGGACCGCAAGGCCUGGCGCUAACAGAUGAGCCCAAGUCGGAUUAGCUAGUUGGUAGGGUAACGGCCUACCAAGGCGACGAUCCGUAACUGGUCUGAGAGGACGACCAGUCACACCGGAACUGAGACACGGUCCGGACUCCUACGGGAGGCAGCAGUGGGGAAUAUUGGACAAUGGGCGAAAGCCUGAUCCAGCGACGCCGCGUGGGUGAAGAAGGCCUGCGGGUUGUAAAGCCCUUUCGGUGGGGAAGAAAGCCUCGAGUUAAUACCUCGGGGUCUUGACGUAACCCAUAGAAGAAGCACCGGCUAACUCUGUGCCAGCAGCCGCAGUAAG
Molecule: ribosomal RNA, 502 nt
Filed under: uncultured bacterium
Lineage: Bacteria
Description: bacterial SSU rRNA
Rfam family: Bacterial small subunit ribosomal RNA
Source: RNAcentral